AUGGACACUUGACAACUUGGCAAGUUAACAAGUUCUCUUCAACUAUUGGUUUAAUCAACCAAACAGUUUCAGAUCAAAGAAUCCACAACAUGGAAUAGAGCUUCGUCUGUUUAGUCCAACUGUUCCCAUUGAAUGCUGUCUUUCUUCCAUAAUUUUGUUUCCAGUCAUUAGUCACCUAGCUUAUGCUUGAACAUUCUCAGUUCUGAGGAUCUCCAUUGGCAGCUUAUUCUGUUUUUGGAGAGCUCUGAUUCUCAGAAGUCCUUACAAUUACUGUGCUCGAAUUAUUGUCCUUCUAGCCCAUGUCUAGGUUCUGUCUUUAAUGGUCUGGCUCUAAUCCUAUACAGAAGUGUAAUUGUUUUGAAAAGGUUGCUAUGUCCAUUUGAAACGUACUUUCUCUAGGAUAAAUAUUCCUAAUUCCUUUAACUAUUCCUUACAUGAUAUAAUUCAGAAGCCCAUAGUCUUCUCACUUACUCUCUUUCUGGAAUAUAUGCCUGGUUGUAUCUGAUCCUUUAAUAGGUGAUUUUGAGGGUGAAAUACAGUGUUAUAUCAGA
Long non-coding RNA from Felis catus (domestic cat), 551 nucleotides. RefSeq lists it as uncharacterized. The transcript is spliced from 2 exons. The record is from RefSeq and is a predicted model, not a curated record. Lineage: Eukaryota; Metazoa; Chordata; Mammalia; Carnivora; Felidae.